This 198-nucleotide ribosomal RNA is filed under the name uncultured bacterium. RNAcentral describes it as "partial 16S ribosomal RNA". It matches the Rfam family "Bacterial small subunit ribosomal RNA", at positions 326 to 539 of the family's 1533-position model. The record is from RNAcentral.
ACGCUCGACACCUACGGGAAGCAGCAGUGGGGAAUAUUGCACAAUGGGGGAAACCCUGAUGCAGCGACGCCGCGUGAGUGAAGAAGUAUUUCGGUAUGUAAAGCUCUAUCAGCAGGGAAGAAAAUGACGGUACCUGACUAAGAAGCCCCGGCUAACUACGUGCCGGCAGCCGCGGUAAUCUGAGCGGGCUGGCAAGGC